UGAAUACGAGACGCUAAGGCGUCGAAGUAGUGUAUGUCAUACUUCCAAGAAAAGCUUGCACUGUCAUAGAUAAAAAACGCCUGUACCAUAACCGACACAGGUGGGUAGGUAGAGUAUACUAAGGGGCGCGAGAUAACUCUCUCUAAGGAACUCGGCAAAAUAACUCCGUAACUUCGGGAGAAGGAGUGCCUUAUUAUUAAGGUUGCAAUAACAAGAUCCAAGCAACUGUUUAUCAAAAACACAGGUCUCCGCUAGGUCGUAAGACGAUGUAUGGGGGCUGACGCCUGCCCAGUGCCAGGAGGUUAAAGAAGCUGGUUAGCAUUUGCGAAGCUAGUAACUGAAGCCCUAGUGAACGGCGGCCGUAACAAUAACGGUCCUAAGGUAGCGAAAUUCCUUGUCGGGUAAGUUCCGACCCGCACGAAAGGCGUAAUGAUUUGGAUACUGUCUCGGAGAGGGGCUCGGUGAAAUAGACUUGUCUGUGAAGAUGCGGACUACCUGCACCAGGACAGAAAGACCCUAUGAAGCUUUACUGUAACUUGAAAUUGAAAUUGGACUUUAUUCGCGCAGUAUAGGUGGGAGGCGUUGAUUAUAAUCUUGCGGGAUUAUUGGAGCCAUUAGUGAGAUACCACUCUUGUAAUGUUAGAUUUCUAACUUUGAAUCAUUAUCUGGUCAAAGAACAGUUUCAGGCGGGCAGUUUGACUGGGGCGGUCGCCUCCUAAACGGUAACGGAGGCGUACAAAGGUUUCCUCUGAACGGUUAGAAAUCGUAUCUAGAGUGUAAAGGCAUAAGGAAGCUUGACUGUGAGACCUACAAGUCGAGCAGGGACGAAAGUCGGUCUUAGUGAUCUGACGGUACUGAGUGGAAAGGCCGUCACUCAACGGAUAAAAGUUACUCUAAGGAUAACAGGCUGAUCUCCCCCAAGAGUUCACAUCGACGGGGAGGUUUGGCACCUCGAUGUCGGCUCAUCGCAUCCUGGGGCGGUAGUACGUCCCAAGGGUUGGGCUGUUCGCCCAUGAAAGCGGUACGCGAGCUGGGUUCAGAACGUCGUGAGACAGUUCGGUCCAUAUCCGGUGUAGGCGUUAGAAUAUUGAGAGGAGCCUUCUUUAGUACGAGAGGACCGAGAAGGACAUACCUCUGGUGUACCAGUUAUCGUGCCAACGGUAGACGCUGGGUAGCUAUGUAUGGAGUGGAUAACCGCUGAAAGCAUCUAAGUGGGAAGCCCACCUCAAGAUAAGUAUUCUCACC
This 1245-nucleotide ribosomal RNA is filed under the name metagenome. Its description in RNAcentral is "bacterial LSU rRNA". It matches the Rfam family "Bacterial large subunit ribosomal RNA", at positions 1564 to 2818 of the family's 2925-position model. The record is from RNAcentral.